RNAcentral lists this long non-coding RNA (421 nucleotides) under Bos taurus (domestic cattle). Its description in RNAcentral is "long non-coding RNA NONBTAT011109". Lineage: Eukaryota; Metazoa; Chordata; Mammalia; Artiodactyla; Bovidae. The record is from RNAcentral.
CAAGUAUGAGUGACCAAUUUUUUAAUUGUAAAGUAGGUGCAACAUUUAAAAAGAAAUGUUACAGCACUGCAUGACUUGUAAUGCUAACAAUAUUUACAUUAACUGCUUACAUGAAACCAUAGAACUAUAGGAGAGAGAGAGGAAAAAAAAAAAUAUGGACUGAAACAAUACCUAGAACUCACAACCAGCGGUAAGCAACCAGUGACAUCAUGGGCACAGACAUACUUUACAUGAUCUACUGAUGUAAAGUAUACAUGGUGGGGGAAGCACAAACCUAAUUAGCUCGAAAAUACCCAAAAGAAGGCUUGGUAGACACAAACUUAGUCUGAAGAGAAAAAACUAAAGGCUAAAAAAACUUCCACAUGUCAACACACACGAACAUCCACAUAUACGUAGACAUACCCAAUACACACACAUGCGU